UGUGGCUUUUGUGUAUCUAGGUGUCAGGGAGAUGAAAGGCUGUGUCUAUGCUCAGUGUUCUGACCUAAGAACAUCUGAUUGAUCAAUAGCCAACAUU
This 97-nucleotide small nucleolar RNA is filed under the name Meriones unguiculatus (Mongolian gerbil). RNAcentral's name for it is "Small nucleolar RNA SNORA17 (ENSMUGG00000001526.1)". It matches the Rfam family "Small nucleolar RNA SNORA17", at positions 35 to 132 of the family's 132-position model. From Rfam's summary of the family: snoRNA ACA 17 belongs to the H/ACA family of snoRNAs and is predicted to guide pseudouridylation of the 28S rRNA at positions U4659 and U4598. It shares the same host gene together with ACA43. The record is from RNAcentral. Lineage: Eukaryota; Metazoa; Chordata; Mammalia; Rodentia; Muridae.